Molecule: ribosomal RNA, 468 nt
Filed under: uncultured bacterium
Lineage: Bacteria
Description: partial 16S ribosomal RNA
Rfam family: Bacterial small subunit ribosomal RNA
Source: RNAcentral
GACGAACGCUGGCGGCGUGCUUAACACAUGCAAGUCGAACGGAAAGGCCCUGCUUUUGUGGGGUGCUCGAGUGGCGAACGGGUGAGUAACACGUGAGUAACCUGCCCUUUACUUUGGGAUAACUUCAGGAAACUGGGGCUAAUACCGGAUAGGAGCUCCUGCUGCAUGGUGUGGGUUGGUAAGUUUCGGCGGUUGGGGAUGGACUCGCUGCUUAUCAGCUUGUUGGUGGUGUAUUGGCUUACCAAGGCUUUGACGGGUAGCCGGCCUGUGAGGGUGACCGGCAACAUUGGGAAUGAGAUAGGGACCAGAAGGGUACGGGAGGAAGCAGUGGGGAAUAGUGCACAAUGGGCGGAAGGAUGAUGAAGCAAAGCAGCGUGCGGGAUGACGGCAUUCGGGUUGUAAAAAGAAGUAGAAUGUGACGAAGCGUGAGUGACGGUAAUGGGUAAAGAAGCACCGGCUAAAUACGUG